RNAcentral lists this long non-coding RNA (413 nucleotides) under Bos taurus (domestic cattle). RNAcentral's name for it is "long non-coding RNA NONBTAT019118". The record is from RNAcentral. Lineage: Eukaryota; Metazoa; Chordata; Mammalia; Artiodactyla; Bovidae.
GUAACAAUCUCUCUAGUAAAUAAUCUGCAGUUUUUCUAUGAAAAUGAUACACCAAGUUCUGGUUUUAAUUUUAGUUUAGAUCAGCCACAGGAGCUGGGUACCUGCAGACACUUGUUUCUGCACCUGGGAGCUUCUCACCAGUGAGGUGGAGAGUAGACAAGCCGUCCCUGCCACCUGCUACCCUGGCGUGCCCUGGAGACGGAGCCCCAGGCUGGCCUGGCCCAGAGCCCUGGCUGUUCUGAGCCUCGGGGUUAAUCACCCCCACCGAGGGGGCACUGCACAGGGUCAGGGACCCUAAUGGGUUCCCGGUUCCUUGGAGUGGUCAGAGCUGAGGCACAGACCAGGCUCCCUAAAGAGCAGCUGGUGGCCUGGGACAGUCACCCACCUCGACUCUUGGUUUCUGCAUCUCUGAG